RNAcentral lists this ribosomal RNA (1430 nucleotides) under uncultured marine alveolate. RNAcentral's name for it is "eukaryotic LSU rRNA". The stretch from base 504 to 1430 matches the Rfam family "Eukaryotic large subunit ribosomal RNA", at positions 1 to 840 of the family's 3401-position model. The record is from RNAcentral.
UGUCGUAACAAGGUUUCCGUAGGUGAACCUGCGGAAGGAUCAUUCGCACAAAGAAUAUCUUUUACACCCGCCACGCACCACACAGUGCUUUCUGUUUUUAAUCAGGAUUUAUAUCCAACUCGUCGAUGUUGCGAUUCCAUUGCAAUGUAUGCGAUGUUAUCUAUCUCUUGCGACGACGAAUGCCUUGGCUCGAGGAUCGUUGAAGGACGCAGCGAACUGUGCUAAACAUCUCGAAUUGCAGAUUUCCGAGAAAGAAAAGGAUUCUGAACGCACUUUGCGAAUUGACCUCGUGUCAGUUCACUUGAUUGGCGGUGACCGCAAUAUGCAGUCGCUCGAACUCCGAAGUUUGAGUGGUGUGCACGUGUUGUUGCAGAUUGUUGCACCGACAUGUUCGUAGAAUUCGACGCGCCUCUCGUUUUCGAGCAGCAUUAUGACUUCGUGUUAUGAUGUUCGAAAGCAGGGACCGUUUCUUGUUUGGGUUUCCAAACGAUUCUUUCGCACGCUCACGACCAGUCAAGGGAUUACCCGCUGAAUUUAAGCAUAUAAAUAAGCGGAGGACAUCAAACUAACCAGGAUUCCCCUAGUAAUGGCGAAUGAACAGGGAAGAGCUCAAAUCUAUAACCGUGUUUACGGAUACGGAAUGUGGCCUCGUGUGCAUUCACCAGCUGCUCCUACGUCGUUAGUUGUUUGGAACAACGCACAACAACGGGUGAAAGUCCCAUCUGUCGACCUUAUGGAGGCGCGUACGGUGUUUGUUCCCCGAGUCGCGCACCCUGGGACGGGUGCGUAAAUUCGGUGGUAAGUUUCAUCGAAAGCUCAAUAUUUCCUCGAGUCCGAUAGCGAACAAGUACCAUGAGGGAAAGGUGAAAAGUACUUUGAAAAGAGAGUUAAACGUGCCUGAAAUCGUUGUGAAUCAAGCGAUUGGAAUCAACGUCGUUAAGGAAUUGGGACUCUAAGUGUGUCAUCUGGCUUCAACGAGUAUUCGUUUUGGUUUGUUUGGCGUGUUUAGUUGUUCCGGAUCCCUUGAAGACAUCUGACACUGGUGGAUAAGCCGUCUACACCGCUAAUUGAAAUCUCUCCGGAGUGAUCUUUUGGAAGUGGCGGCUUUUGCACUGGCGGUACGCACAUCAUUGGAUCGUUCGUGAGCUAUGAUCGUGUUAUUCUCUGUCGUAUUUUCGGCUUGAGUGCACGUGAUUAGGGAGCGGGCUCGAAGUGAUGUGUGGUGUCAGACUCGCAGGUUUCAAUUGGCUCGUCUUGAAACACGAACCAAGGAGUUCAUACGCAUGUGCGAGUAUGUGAGCCAUUACGCUCAUAUGCGAAAUGAAAGUGAAAGGCAGAAUGUAAGCUCUGCCGACCGACUACAUUCUUCGGCGUGAAGUUCGAGUGUGAGCGCAUGUGUUGGGACCCGAAAGAUGGUGAACUAUGCGUGA